RNAcentral lists this ribosomal RNA (518 nucleotides) under Cytospora leucosperma. RNAcentral's name for it is "eukaryotic LSU rRNA". It matches the Rfam family "Eukaryotic large subunit ribosomal RNA", at positions 89 to 630 of the family's 3401-position model. RNAcentral also lists the same sequence under 1 other name. The record is from RNAcentral. Lineage: Eukaryota; Fungi; Ascomycota; Sordariomycetes; Diaporthales; Cytosporaceae.
GCGAGUGAAGCGGCAACAGCUCAAAUUUGAAAGCUGGCUCCGGCCCGCAUUGUAAUUUGCAGAGGAUGCUUCUGGCGAGGUGCCUUCCGAGUUCCCUGGAACGGGACGCCAUAGAGGGUGAGAGCCCCGUAUGGAUGGACACCAAGCCUGUGUGAAGCUCCUUCAACGAGUCGAGUAGUUUGGGAAUGCUGCUCAAAAUGGGAGGUAAAUCUCUUCUAAAGCUAAAUACCGGCCAGAGACCGAUAGCGCACAAGUAGAGUGAUCGAAAGAUGAAAAGCACCUUGAAAAGGGGGUUAAACAGUACGUGAAAUUGUUGAAAGGGAAGCGCUUGUGACCAGACUUGCGCCGGGCGGCUCAUCAGGGGUUCUCCCCUGUGCACUCCGCCCGGCUCAGGCCAGCAUCGGUUCUCGUGGGAGGAUAAGAACGGUGGGAACGUGGCCCCCCUCCGGGGGGGUGUUAUAGCCCACCGUACGAUACUCUCGUGGGGACCGAGGUUCGCGCUCCGCAAGGAUGCUGGC